RNAcentral lists this long non-coding RNA (508 nucleotides) under Heterocephalus glaber (naked mole-rat). RNAcentral's name for it is "lncRNA (ENSHGLG00000035170.1)". The record is from RNAcentral. Lineage: Eukaryota; Metazoa; Chordata; Mammalia; Rodentia; Bathyergidae.
GUCAUAGUCACAGCUACUGAUUCACCUGCCUUCCUGUCUGGUUUUUGCGGGCCCUGGGAGGAAGUGUUUAUUGGCUCCUGAGUCACCAGCCCCUGCCACCUGCUGGCCUCUCCCCACAAGUGUCCCCCUUUCCAUGUUGCUUCCCCUUUGACCCUAGGAUUUCUGCUCUCUGUCUGUUCUCUGGGUGGCGCAGCCAAUCAGCUUGUGAGAUCAGAGACGUUGAGCUCUGGGAGCCACUGCUUGCCCUGUACCUCUCUGUGCCGUCCUGCCUCUGCCUGAGCAGGCCUGGCUGCUUCGAGGGGAUCCCAGGCCUCUUGCUCCAUGCUGGCUGCCAGGGUGGAGAGCAGCUCAACCUUCCUCCCAUGUGACAUUGGCCAUCAGAAGCCGGCUGCCAAUGGGUACAAGAUGGGACCAUGGCACCAGUGUGCCUCUGAGACAUGGGAUAGACACUCACUUCCUGGUAACCUGGGCAGGGUCAGCUCCUCCUCAGGUCCUCUGUGGCCCCAAG